Non-coding RNA from Caenorhabditis brenneri, 71 nucleotides. The record is from the annotation of a GenBank genome assembly. NCBI's taxonomy places the organism in Eukaryota, Metazoa, Nematoda, Chromadorea, Rhabditida, Rhabditidae.
GCGUGCGUGGCCGAGUGGGUAACACGCGCGGCUGGCAAGCGAGAGGCGUGAGUUCGACCCCCGCCACCCCA